UCCGCCGUAGUGUAAUAGGCAGCACAGGGUCUUUUGGUGUCCCCGGUUCAGGUUCGAGUCCUGGCGGCGGAG
RNAcentral lists this transfer RNA (72 nucleotides) under Streptomyces bathyalis. Its description in RNAcentral is "tRNA-Gln". It matches the Rfam family "tRNA". Rfam says of the family: Transfer RNA (tRNA) molecules are approximately 80 nucleotides in length. Their secondary structure includes four short double-helical elements and three loops (D, anti-codon, and T loops). RNAcentral also lists the same sequence under 1 other name. The record is from RNAcentral. Lineage: Bacteria; Bacillati; Actinomycetota; Actinomycetes; Kitasatosporales; Streptomycetaceae.